UACCAGCACCCCGAGUGGUCGGGACGAUUAUUGGGCCUAAAGUAUCCGUAGCCGGUUCUACAAGUCUUCCGUUAAAUCCACCUGCUUAACAGAUGGGCUGCGGAGGAUACUAUGGAGCUAGGAGGCGGGAGAGGCAAGCGGUACUUAGUGGGUAGGGGUAAAAUCCGUUGAUCCAUUGAAGACCACCAGUGGCGAAGGCGGCUUGCCAGAACGCACUCGACGGUGAGGGAUGAAAGCUGGGGGAGCAAACCGG
This 253-nucleotide ribosomal RNA is filed under the name uncultured bacterium. Its description in RNAcentral is "partial 16S ribosomal RNA". It matches the Rfam family "Archaeal small subunit ribosomal RNA", at positions 474 to 727 of the family's 1478-position model. The record is from RNAcentral.